Molecule: ribosomal RNA, 516 nt
Filed under: uncultured archaeon
Lineage: Archaea
Description: bacterial SSU rRNA
Rfam family: Archaeal small subunit ribosomal RNA
Source: RNAcentral
CCCGCCGGANGCUACCGCUAUUGGAGUUCGAUUANNCCNUGCGAGUCGAGAGUCCUCGGGACUCGGCGUACCGCUCAGUAACACGUGGGUAACCUGCCCUGUGCUGGGGGAUAACCUCGGGAAACUGAGAACAAUACCCCAUAGUCCACUACGCCUGGAACGGUGAGUGGAUGAAAGCCCCGGCGGCACAGGAUGGGCCUGCGGCGUAUCAGGUAGUAGGGGGUGUAAUGUACCCUCUAGCCUUCGACGCGUACGGGUUGUGAGAGCAAUAGCCCGGAGAUGGAUUCUGAGACACGAAUCCAGGUCCUACGGGACGCAGCAGUCGCGAAACCUUGACAAUGCGGGAAACCGUGAUCAGGGGACUCCNANGUGCCAGGAGUAAGAUCCUGUGCUUUUCUUUUCUCUUCAAAGGAUUUGGAAUAAGAGGUGGGUAAGGACGGUGCCAGCCGCCGCGGUAAUACCGGCGCCUCGAGUGGNAGUCGAUUUUAUUGGGCCUAAAACGUCCGUCGCCGGUCU